RNAcentral lists this long non-coding RNA (5925 nucleotides) under Gallus gallus (chicken). The record is from RNAcentral. Lineage: Eukaryota; Metazoa; Chordata; Aves; Galliformes; Phasianidae.
UUCCUGGAGACGCUGCAGUGUGGCGGCGCUCCCGGCGCCGCGCAUCCCCCGUGCCGCCUCCGCCUCCCCGCCCGCUUCGCCUCGCCCUGCCCUGCCCGCCGGCGGCCGCUCCUGAAACUUAGCGUCCGCCGAGCGCGGGGGGUCGAGCAGCAGAGCCGCGCGCGGGGCGGUCCGCCGCGCACCCCGCUCCGCUCCGCGCUGCAGCCUCGCCCCGGGAGGGGCCCGGGCAGAGUGCUGAAGGACGCGCCGGCGGCGCCCGCCCCGGUUGCCAGGGAGAAAAGAAAAAGGACCUUUUCUGAGCUGUGAAGAAACUACAGACUGACUGAUAGAGCCUUUCAAGAUUUCCCUGUGAAAAGAAAAUUUUGUUGAUGCCAGUCAUAUAAGUCCUACGUGCUGGAAAGACACUCACAUACUGUCAGGGCACUAUUCAAGAAUCAAGAACUAAGGCAUUGAUGCAGGGAAUGCCACCAUUAGAGCUGAAAAGAGUUGCUACCAUCUGUAGAUCUGUCUCAUAAGAAAGGCUGUCAGUAGGUAUUAACAUUUCUUUUUGGUGGUUUGUAUUACAGAUUUUUUAUAUUUUUAACUUUUUUUUUUUUUUUUUUUUUUUUUUUUUUUUUUUUUUGAACUAAUACUUCACUUACUUUCUCUUCUGGAAUCCAACUUUCCAAUGAUAAAUGAAAAUCCCUAGACUGUAGAUGGAUGCAUCUUGCCUUCUGUAAUCAUUUCCAUCUUAAAGGCAAACCUUUAAGCAACAAUGAAAAAUUGAUUUUUGCAUAGAUCUGUGACACAUUGAUCCAUUAGAAAUAAAGAGCACAGUAAUGCAAAAUUUACUUCAUUUAAUCUCUUGAAACUUAUUAAACUGUAUAAUGUGCUUGGAGGAAAGUAACCUACCGUCUUACAGUGGCAACACAGGUUGCAAUGAGAUUUCUGUUUUUUGGCCAUGGAGAAUGAAUCAGACAUACCAAGGGAUUUUUUGUGCGAAAAUAAAACUGUCACAAAGCCAUAUAGUUAAGUGUAGGUCUUACUCUCCCUUUUAAGGAGAAUGAAAUUGCUGGUGCAAAAAAGGUUUCUUUCUUCCUACAGCGCUGCAUAUACUGUGCUACAAUCUAAAACUGCAGCAAUUAUACAGAGCAGUUAAAUAAAAUGAGAACAAUCAAACAGUCAGCUCACUGAGCCAGAGGUGGUACUUGGAGUCCCUGCUGUUUCUCUCAGUCAAUCUCAGCAUCAGUGAUGGUCAGGAAAUAGACUUCAUUUUCCUGCAUAUGUUUAUGUGGUGGGGGGGCACAUGAAAGAGUUUGCAAAGAUGAGGCAGAUAAGUUUAAUGUGGUUUGGAAUGUCUUCUGGUCCCAACAUAGGGUUGUUCAAGUCAUACACAUAAAAUUUUGUGACAAGUUGCCUCAAAAAAAAAAAAAAAUCUUUAUAUCUGUUAUACAUAGGACAUUUUAAAUAUCUCCAGUGUAGAGGUAAGGGAACAGCUGUGGAUCAAACCUAUCUACAGUAGUUAUUCUGUGAGGUAGGUUGGAAAUCACGACUCUGAAAGUCUAAGGCUGUAGUUUUAUGAUAGCCUAAAACUGCAUUUUUGCUGGAAAUUGUAAUCUUACCCUCCUUUGUUGUUCCAGCAUUAAGCUCUAAUGGAAUAAUUUUCAGCCGGACAGGUCGUGUUGCUGACACACAAGGAAUAAUAGUUAUGUGCAUGUAGGAAGUAGGGCAGAAUAUCACCUGUCUUGGCAGCAGCAAAGCCCUAAAUCUGUUUAAGCAGCUCCUGAAAGCAUUCCAGUACUCAACCUACAGAGAGGGACAGAAGGGAGUGGGUGCUGACACCACCGUUCUCCUUCCAUGUAGCAAAUGACACAUCACUAAUGGCACAUGCUCUGUAUUGUAACAGAUAAUGAGCUCCAGUCACUUUCAUAUAACUGAGCUACCUAAAUUAGUAAAAUCAGUUCCCAGAUUGGAUCCUGAGGUGUGGUGGAGUGACCUUGGCUGGCCACCAGAUGCCCACCCAGAAACUCUUACUCCCCCUCUUCAACCAGGACAGGGGAAGGAAAUAAGAUGGAAAAACUCACAGGUCAGAAUAAAGACAGGGACCGAUUUCAUUUAUUGCUGAUUAAAAUGGAUUUGAAUGGUGGGAAAGAAAAAACUAUGACACCAGCUCCCCAGUUGCCACUUUUUCCCAAGCUUAACUUCACUCCUUCACUUCUAGCUCCUCCAUUUCCUUGUGCCCAAGCAGCACAGAGGGUGGAGGAAUGGGCUGUACUCAGUCCCUAGCAGUUUUCCUCUGCCAUUUCUUUCUCCUCACACUUUCCCUUGCUCUACUAUGUCUCCUUCCUUAAAGAACAGUCUUUCAAGAGCCGCACCAUUAUGGACUCUCCAUGGGCUUCAGUGUGAUUAUCUGCUCUGGUAUGGUCCUCUUCAUGGUCUGUGGAGGGACAGCCUGCUUCACAGGAUUCAAGGGAGCUCAGCUUUCCUGCCUGGAAACUUCCUGCCUUCCUUCUUCACUAAUGUUGUUGUCUGCAGAGCUGUUUCUCUCACAAUUUUUAUUUCUCCAGUCCUAUCUGCUGUCUUGUAUUCUUGCCCUUUCCUAAUCCAUAUUCCUUGUUCCAACUAGUCUUCUGGCCCAGCUGUAUCCAGCCCCGGGGCCACCCAGCCUCUCCUCACAGAGGAGCCCUGCAGCCUCCUGACAACACCAAUGUAUGCACACCCAAUACCCCAGGUCUUCUCUCAAACAGUUUAAACAGUGAAUGAAAGUAAAGGUAAUUUUUUCAGGAUACUCUUGAAAACUUUUUCUUAUUAACUAAUCUUUGGAACCUUGAAACUUUUUUCUGAUCUCACAGACACCUAUUUUGUAUUCACAUAAUACCAGUUGCAAGGGAGCUCUUCUCUCUAAGUACCUUUGAAAGUACAAGCAGAAUAAAUCCUAUGAUGUAUUCAAAAAUAAUAUUUAACUUCUUAAUUUUCAUUGAAUCCAAAAUUUGCAUGUCCAGGUUGUAUUAGGAAUGGAAGAGGGAGACCUCAGUGCCACAGGGGGGCAAACCCCAGAGCAUGCUGGAGGUGCUCACAAGACAUGGCAGGUGGAUGACCAGGGUCAGGCAUCUCUGCCAUGUCCCUUUCUGAUGCCCACUUGCUGUUUUAUUGCUGUGUGUUCUCCAGACCAUUGAUUAGAAUGCUUUCCUGAGAUGAAAUUCAUCCUCUGCUGUUGUCCCAAGAUUUCCCUGGUAAAGUUGGGUUAACACUGAUUCUUGCGUUUAAUAUUUAUAAUAUAAAUUUCACAGUGUCAGAAACAUAAUGGCCCAACCAAUGUUCUUUAUAGUAUGCCAGACUGGUUGGAACUGUUUGUACAAACAACUGAUAUAUUUUGUUCUCACCUUAAAAAAAAAAUAUAUUAUAUGGAAACCUUAUCUAUUUUUAAAAUACAAAUUCUUAUCUGUGCCUGACAGAUCACAUCACUAUGAGAGGUCCAAAAUUGGUGGUUCUCGGUAAAAUUUAAUUAUCUGGCACUUUCCAACAGCAGCUUGUCUACCACUGACAUGUAGAAUUUCAUUUUGUUCAAACAUCUUUUGUGUGUAUGUCUCCUUGAUAUUGAUAACAGUGGCUUGUGGUAAUGCUUAUCUCCUUUUGAUUCUGAAAAUGUAAUAAAGAAGGAGAAUACAAAGUAAUGGCUACAUGCAUUAGUUAGACAGACAUCCAUCAAAGCUUUGCAUGAGACUUAGCUUUUCAGAUAUCUCAGGCAACAGAGAUCAUAAAAGCAAUGUUAGGAUGGGAAGCGUGUCCACAAAACCAGAUAAAUCACUGUCCAAACAAGGAGCCAAGACAGAUCCACUUGUUCAUUCAUGGAAUUAUUCCCUUUCCCAAGCAUGUUUUGGAAUAUAUUGUUAAUUGCUAAUCACCAUGGUUCUCUCUCUUCAUAGCUACAGUAAUUGAACUUUUCAAGGCACAUAAGGCCUGGGUCCUUUCCACAAAAACUAGAAGAUUUGACAGCAGUAGGAAACCAGUGCAAAAGAGAGAAAAUAGUCUUUAUAAUCUGGUGUUUAUAGAUAAGAGUGGUUAGCUGAAAAGAAGUGUAGAAUUACAAACAUAGAACUCAAUCUCAUCUGUGUAACAACCCUAUCAUUAAAGACCUGUGCAUAUAAAUACAGGCAGCAAUACAUAGAAGUAUUGCUUUAUAGUUUCUAAAUUAAAUGUUUUAAAUACUGGAUAUUUUUAUAAAGAAAAUGUUUAAAUAUGUAACUUUCUGUGAGAUACUUGUGAGUAAUGAAAUGGACAGUAAGUACAUCCAGAUGUAUGUAUUGUACAGGUGCAUACUGGAAGUAUUUGGAGUAAGAGUUAAACAUGUCACAGAAAAAAAAAGCAAAAUUGCAUGGUUUUUAUGUUCAAAUAUGUUUGUCCAAUAAUUUCUAAUUUUGGGUCUGGCACAGAAACCCACUGUGUACACUGAAGACUGUAUGAUGUGUCUCACUUGGUUAAGCUUUCAUGGUGGGUGCCAGCAUCUACCUCUCUGGACUGUCAUUUAAAAAACAAGUUAGGAAUAAUAGUAAUGAUUUUGAAAAAUUUGUAUUAUGCUUGUUUUACUUUGUUUGGUUUUGAAAAAGUAGAAAGUGCAUUGUUGGUUGAUAAAAGACUAUAGUUUUGAAUCAGAAAAAAAAGUCAGUAAUUUGAGAGAGAAAAAUGAUUGAAGAUAGUAAGUCCAGCACUGGGAUUGCAUAGGAAUCAUAAAAAUAUUUUAAGGCAUUUUUUUUGUCCUGUGUCCAACUCAAACCAGCCAAGAGAGACUGAGUGUACAGACCUUGAUAUUCAAAUUUCAAGGUAUUUAUAAUCAGAGCUUCUCAAUACGGGAAUUUCCUAAAUCUUGUAAUUAAAGAAGUUACUCUUCAGUACACUGGAAAUCAUUUCCAUUUUCAUUUUAAAAGCUUUCAUUAUAAGACUACAUAAAUGGAGAAAAGCGUGCUACCAAUAGGUGAUAUUUUAAGCUUGAAUGGAAUUGACAAAAUGUGAAAUAAUUUCUGAGGUUGCUGAAAUCACAUUACAAACCAUGGAGGGUAAUUUACAUGAUAUAUUAGAUACUUUCUAACAAAAGUAUUUGUUUAGAAGCUGCAGUAUCUUUUUGGGAAUAUAUAUCUGUUUUGACUUUACAUUGCUAUACGUGCACAGUUGUCUUACUCUGUGGCUUUGACUUCGUAGCUCUUGACUUGUGCAGCCAGAUUUAAUGCUGACUGAAGACCAUGAGGAGAGACCUGUGUAUUUCACUGGCAGAGCAUCUGAUCUGAACGGAAAAAUGCUGUCAAUCUGCUAUGUGAGAAAUCUAGAAGUAUUUUUGGCUUUCUGAUAGGCUGUCAGUAGGCCUUGAUAGGUACAGUAAACAAUAUUAAGCUAUGCUGUGUGCCACAGAGAGUCUGUGCAUGGUGUGGUACAGCCUGUGUCUCAGGAGAAGCAGAGAGAAACUGCAAAGAGAUUUUCUGAGCUCAUCAUAUGAUUAUUUAACAGCCUUUCUGAUAAAGUUAGGUGGGUACAGCUGUGGGAAGACCAUACCCUUGAUAAACUCGUCACAGAUAUUGAAGAUGUAUAUCCAGUGAUCAGGGAUGAUAUAUUUUUCUUAGGCAGAGAAAAUGCACAUAGGGUAUCAAAGGCUUUAAGCAUUUCAGUUCUCAUACGAGGUCCAACUUUUGUUGUGGCUUCCAAGUGGGUUGUAAUAGCAUAGCUAACAGGGAAUCUUCUGUCCAAAGCACACAAGGCUAUACAGCUUGAUCUAACAUUAAAAAAAAAAACUGAGCAGCAAACAACUGUCACUUUCCAAUUAUCUACCCCUGGAUGAUGUCCAAGAGAAGACAUGUCAUACAUGCUGUGCAAUAGAUCUUUGAAGUAUGCAGAUAUAGGAGAGGAUGGACAGGAGGAUCUGUUAUGGUGAUUCAGAGAAGAGUAAGCAAGUAGGAC